RNAcentral lists this long non-coding RNA (454 nucleotides) under Pan troglodytes (chimpanzee). RNAcentral's name for it is "long non-coding RNA NONPTRT002374". The record is from RNAcentral. Lineage: Eukaryota; Metazoa; Chordata; Mammalia; Primates; Hominidae.
AACAGUCUCUGGGACACUGAACCCACUUCACCUCAGCACAAAAACAGCUGGCCUCAUUCAUCAUGUGUAGCCGAUUCAGCUUCUCUGGGAAACUCCAAAACCCUCUCAAAGGGUCCUCAACCUCUGCCCUCAAACCACUAUCGCCGUGAGGAUGACGAUGACAAUGACAAUGACGAUGCUGAUGACAAUGAUGGCCUGUGUGCAACACUCUGCUGGCCCUCCCAGAGGCUCUACCAGGAAUCCCCCACAGCCUGGGACUUCUGCUCCUGGAAACAGUUAAGGCUUUGGCAAGAGGCUCUCCCACAAGACCUUUCUGCGUCACUGAGAAAUAUUUGCAGACCUCAACAAUCUUUUAUCUUCGUGAUGAUGUUCCAGCCUUCCAAGUUUCGGACAUCCUAAGAAAUUCUUUGAUUUGGGCUCUCUAAUGAUCUCCCAUGAACAAUUAUCCCAUUAA